Non-coding RNA from Camellia sinensis, 1459 nucleotides. NCBI's taxonomy places the organism in Eukaryota, Viridiplantae, Streptophyta, Magnoliopsida, Ericales, Theaceae. The record is from RefSeq and is a predicted model, not a curated record.
AAACCGCUGGGGCAGAUUAUAACUAUCCCAACUGGCCAUCAUUCCCGGCCCCAGAUGAUUUUUAAAAAUUCGUUGACUAUGCAUGUAACAUAUAUGUAUCCAAGUCUCACCUGUAUCAGUUACAAUUACCAUUUGAGCCCAAAUCCCUAUUUCUAUUGAUGGACUAUCAAACCCUUUUCUAUCUCACCACCAAAACCCUAGUUUUGUCUAAAAAAUGGCGGAUCAGAUCGAGCUCAAUCGAACCUCUCUUCCCCUUCCCUAUCAGCUUCAGGCGAAGAGGAAGGGCUCCGGAGUGAGGACCUGGUUUGUCGUCUCAAAAUUGGGGAACUCUCGAAUUGAAGAGCUUGGGAAGCAAGCGAUCAUUCUGAGGAGUGGAGUUCAGGCUCAUGAUUUGAGGGUUUUUGAACCAGAGCUCUCGAACCCCUCUGCCAUUCUCCGAAGGGAGAGGGCUAUUGUUGUGAACUUGGAACAUAUUAAAGCGAUUAUAACUGCGAAUGAAGUUCUGGUACCAAACCCUAAAGGCCCUUUUAUGGGUUCAUUUGUUUGUGAUCUCGAAUUCAAGCUCUCUGAUUUUGGUGCCAACAUGGUAAGCAAUAAAGCUAUGGAGCAAUCACCCUCAAAUAUGCCACCAGAGGCAAGUGAUAGGAGUCAUAAAUCACCAGCUGAAUGGUCAAUAGGGGCAACUCAAAGCCAUUACCAUUUGAGUUCAGAGCUUUUGAGAUUUGCCUAGAAUCUGUCUGCAGGAGCCUUGAAUCUGAGACUUCCACAUUAGAAGAAGAAGCAUAUCCGGCUUUAGAUGAGCUAUCAGCUAAAACCAGUACGCUUAAUCUCAAACACGUGAGAGUCAUAAAAGGUCGUUUGGUUGCUUUGUCUGGGCGUGUGCAGAAGGUGAGGAGUUUGAACAUCUACUGGAUGAUGACUUAGAUAUGGCUCAAAUGUACUUGACUGAUAGGCUUGCCACCUUGCAAUCUGAAGGUUUAGAAGAUGAACUAGAGAAUGAUGCAAAUGCAUUUAAAUCGGGCAAUGAUAGUGAUGAGGACAUGAGCGGCAAAAGCAGUAAUAUAGAUGUAAGUGAUCUCAAACCAAAUGUUGAAGAGUUGGAAAUGCUAUUGGGAGCCUACUCUGUGCAAAUAGAAGGAAUAUUAAACAAACUAUCGACAGUAAGUUAAACUUCUCUUUGUUUUUACUUUUUAGAUAAUGCUAUGCUACUUCUAAUCCCUAAAGUAGAUUUGUUUGGUUAUUUGGAAACUUUAGAGGAAAAAGAAGAGUUAGGAGGGAUGAAAUGCACAGCAGAGCAGAGGGUACUCUCUUUGUCUGUCUGUUCGGUUGAGCAAAAUGUGUUACUUUGUUUCACCGAAAUAUUUUUAUUUAUCGGUGAAAAGGGUGUUUAUUUGAAGGGGGAAAAAUGUGAGUAAAAUGUUUCCCUUUUUCCCUUCUUCCCUUCUUUCUCUUCAUUUAU